RNAcentral lists this ribosomal RNA (404 nucleotides) under uncultured Candidatus Nemicrothrix sp. RNAcentral describes it as "bacterial SSU rRNA". It matches the Rfam family "Bacterial small subunit ribosomal RNA", at positions 353 to 772 of the family's 1533-position model. The record is from RNAcentral. Lineage: Bacteria; Bacillati; Actinomycetota; Acidimicrobiia; Acidimicrobiales; Microthrixaceae.
AGUGGGGAAUCUUGCGCAAUGGGCGAAAGCCUGACGCAGCAACGCCGCGUGCGGGAUGACGGCCUUCGUGGUUGUAAACCGCUUUCAGCAGGGACGAAAUUGACGGUACCUGCAGAAGAAGCCCCGGCUAACUACGUGCCAGCAGCCGCGGUAAUACGUAGGGGGCAAGCGUUGUCCGGAAUCAUUGGGCGUAAAGAGCUCGUAGGCGGUUCAGUAAGUCGGGUGUGAAAGCUCCGAGCUCAACUCGGAGAGGCCACUCGAUACUGCUGUGACUAGAAUCCAGUAGGGGAGUGUGGAAUUCCUGGUGUAGCGGUGAAAUGCGCAGAUAUCAGGAGGAACACCAGCGGCGAAGGCGGCACUCUGGGCUGGUAUUGACGCUGAGGAGCGAAAGUGUGGGUAGCAAA